GUGAAAUAGUGGAAGAUAGCAUGGACAGUGAUGGAGCACUUGAUGACAGUAUACCUGUAAUUGGAAAUCAUCUUUUAGUUAACCAGAAAAACAAAGUUGAUGACAAGAAUGAUAAUGAAGGUGGUACUAUGGCAUGUGAAGACACUGAUGUUCUUCCAGAAAAAGCUAUGGUAGAAGAGGAAAUGCUAGAAAAAGACAGUACAAAUGAUGAACAAACUUCUUUUGAUGACAAGAAUGAUAAUGAAGGUGGUACUAUGGAAUGUGAAGACUCUGAUGUUCUUCCAGAAAAAGCUAUGGUAGAAGAGGAAAUGCUAGAAAAAGAC
Patella vulgata (common limpet) is the source of this 323-nucleotide long non-coding RNA. RefSeq lists it as uncharacterized. The record is from RefSeq and is a predicted model, not a curated record. NCBI's taxonomy places the organism in Eukaryota, Metazoa, Mollusca, Gastropoda, Patellidae. The transcript is spliced from 3 exons.